CUGCAGCCAAUCCUGCCGACUGUGCUCUUUUCCCCAUGGGGGCCUGGUGCACAAUGGCUGGAAACAGCAGCCUCCUCGGUAGUGUAUGCAGCCUGUUGGCCUGUAUAGGUUUCCCUAAGGCACCUUGGAGGCAGCC
Molecule: small nucleolar RNA, 136 nt
Organism: Kogia breviceps (pygmy sperm whale)
Lineage: Eukaryota; Metazoa; Chordata; Mammalia; Artiodactyla; Physeteridae
Product: small nucleolar RNA SNORA70
Exons: 1
Source: RefSeq, a predicted model, not a curated record